CUGAGACGUGAUGCGUAGCCGAUUGAGGCGAAGUGGACGAUCCUAUGCUGUCGAGAAAAGCCUCUAGUGAGUGUUCAAGCGGCCCGUACCCUAAACCGACACAGGUGGUCAGGUAGAGAAUACUAAGGCGUUCGGGUGAACUGUGGUUAAGGAACUCGGCAAAAUGCCCCCGUAACUUCGGGAGAAGGGGGGCCGUGUGGCGUGAAGCGCCUUGCGCGUGGAGCGUUGUGUGGCCGCAGAGACCAGCGAGAAGCGACUGUUUACUAAAAACACAGGUCCAUGCGAAGUCGUAAGACGAUGUAUAUGGACUGACGCCUGCCCGGUGCUGGAACGUUAAGAGGACGGGUUAGCUCUUUCGGGGGCGAAGCUCAGAAUUUAAGCGCCAGUAAACGGCGGUGGUAACUAUAACCAUCCUAAGGUAGCGAAAUUCCUUGUCGGGUAAGUUCCGACCUGCACGAAUGGCGUAACGACUUCUCGGCUGUCUCAACCACAGGCCCGGUGAAAUUGCACUACGAGUAAAGAUGCUCGUUACGCGCGGCAGGACGGAAAGACCCCGGGACCUUUACUAUAGCUUGGUAUUGGUGCUCGGUUCGGCUUGUGUAGGAUAGGUGGGAGACUGUGAAGCCUUCACGCUAGUGUGGGUGGAGUCGUUGUUGAAAUACCACUCUGGUCGAAUUGGGUGUCUAACCUCGGACCAUGAUCUGGUUCAGGGACAGUGCCUGGUGGGUAGUUUAACUGGGGCGGUUGCCUCCUAAAGAGUAACGGAGGCGCUCAAAGGUUCCCUCAGCCUGGUUGGCAAUCAGGUGUUGAGUGCAAGUGCACAAGGGGGCUUGACUGUGAGACUGACGGGUCGAGCAGGGACGAAAGUCGGAACUAGUGAUCCGGCCAUGGCUUGUGGAAGCGUGGUCGCUCAACGGAUAAAAGGUACCCCGGGGAUAACAGGCUGAUCUUGCCCAAGAGUCCAUAUCGACGGCAUGGUUUGGCACCUCGAUGUCGGCUCGUCGCAUCCUGGGGCCGGAGUAGGUCCCAAGGGUUGGGCUGUUCGCCCAUUAAAGCGGUACGCGAGCUGGGUUUAGAACGUCGUGAGACAGUUCGGUCCCUAUCCGCCGCGCGCGUAGGAGAUUUGAGGAAGGCUGUCCCUAGUACGAGAGGACCGGGACGGACGAACCUCUGGUGUGCCAGUUGUUCUGCCAAGGGCAUGGCUGGUUGGCUACGUUCGGAAGGGAUAACCGCUGAAGGCAUCUAAGCGGGAAGCUCGUUCCAAGAUGAGAUCUCCCACCCUUUGUUGGGGUAAGGCUCCCAGCUAGACGACUGGGUUGAUAGGCCAGAGAUGGAAGCACGGUAACGUGUGGAGUUGACUGGUACUAAUAGGCCGAGGACUUGCUCAC
This 1388-nucleotide ribosomal RNA is filed under the name Rhodococcus rhodnii. RNAcentral's name for it is "bacterial LSU rRNA". It matches the Rfam family "Bacterial large subunit ribosomal RNA", at positions 1556 to 2925 of the family's 2925-position model. The record is from RNAcentral. Lineage: Bacteria; Bacillati; Actinomycetota; Actinomycetes; Mycobacteriales; Nocardiaceae.